Small nucleolar RNA from Prolemur simus (greater bamboo lemur), 134 nucleotides. NCBI's taxonomy places the organism in Eukaryota, Metazoa, Chordata, Mammalia, Primates, Lemuridae. The record is from Ensembl.
CUAGAUGGCUCUGGGUUGUGCCAGGCCCACCUCUGUGGUUCUUGCUUGGUGCCUCCUGCCAGACAUGUGGCAGCCCCACGCUGGGCCUGGCCUCCCUGCCCACAGGCCAUGGCGCUGGCCCAGGCAGCACAGUG